This 1218-nucleotide ribosomal RNA is filed under the name Triticum aestivum (bread wheat). RNAcentral describes it as "partial small subunit ribosomal RNA". The record is from RNAcentral. Lineage: Eukaryota; Viridiplantae; Streptophyta; Magnoliopsida; Poales; Poaceae.
AUGGACUGCUGCUUCCCCUGCCUGGGCGCCAGGAAGAAGCGCAAGACGCCGGCGCGGCCGGAGAAGCCCCAGAUCCCUCCCGCCGCAGACAAUAAAGCGAAGCCGGGGUGCUCCUCGUCGUCGACGAGCGCGGCGGCGGCGGCGCGGCAGGACUCGCUGUCGGAGGCCAAGAAGGAGUUCGUCCUCAGCAACGGGUCCGAGCACCGCCACAUUGCCGCGCAGACCUUCACCUUCAGGGAGCUCGCGGCGGCGACCAACGGUUUCAGGGCCGACUGCCUUCUCGGGGAGGGUGGCUUCGGCCGGGUCUACAAGGGGUACCUGGAGAGCAUCAACCAGGUUGUCGCCAUAAAGCAGCUCGAUCGAAAUGGACUGCAAGGCAACAGGGAGUUUCUUGUUGAGGUCCUCAUGCUGAGCUUGCUGCACCACCCACACCUGGUCAACCUUAUUGGCUAUUGCGCCGAUGGCGACCAGAGGCUUUUGGUUUACGAGUAUAUGCCGCUGGGUUCUUUGGAAGACCACCUUCACGAUCCUUCCCCAGAUAAACCCCGCCUUGACUGGAAUACACGGAUGAAGAUAGCCGCUGGUGCAGCUAAAGGGCUGGAGCAUUUGCAUGACAAAACAAAUCCUCCUGUCAUAUACCGGGACUUGAAAUGUUCAAACAUCUUGCUCGGAGAGGGAUACCACCCAAAGCUGUCUGACUUUGGAUUGGCAAAGCUUGGCCCAGUUGGUGAUAAGACACAUGUUUCCACCAGAGUGAUGGGUACAUACGGGUAUUGUGCCCCCGAGUAUGCUAUGACUGGUCAGCUGACUCUGAAGUCAGAUGUUUACAGCUAUGGUGUUGUUCUAUUGGAGAUCAUCACAGGACGAAGGGCUAUCGACAACACCCGAGCUGCGGGGGAGCAAAAUCUUGUUGCAUGGGCCCGGCCCUUGUUCAAGGACAGGAGGAAGUUCCCCCAGAUGGCAGACCCGGCGCUGGAGGGCUGGUACCCGCCAAGGGGACUGUACCAGGCCCUGGCCGUCGCUGCAAUGUGCGUGCAAGAACAGCCGACCCUGAGACCGUUGAUCGGCGACGUCGUCACAGCCCUGAGCUACCUUGCCUCCCAGCCCUACGAUCCGGAGGUGCACGGCGUCCACCGCCCGUCGCGCCUGACGGCUUCCGGCACGCCGCCCCGAGCCCGGAACCACGGCGCCGAUCAUCAAAGAGGAGGAAGCGAGUGA